GAGAUGUUAGUAAAAUAAUUACAUAACUUUGUCAAAGUUAAUUCAUAGGUUAGACUCCUAUAUAUCUCU
Molecule: transfer RNA, 69 nt
Filed under: Callospermophilus lateralis (golden-mantled ground squirrel)
Lineage: Eukaryota; Metazoa; Chordata; Mammalia; Rodentia; Sciuridae
Description: tRNA-Asp
Rfam family: tRNA
About the family: Transfer RNA (tRNA) molecules are approximately 80 nucleotides in length. Their secondary structure includes four short double-helical elements and three loops (D, anti-codon, and T loops).
Source: RNAcentral